RNAcentral lists this ribosomal RNA (484 nucleotides) under uncultured bacterium. RNAcentral describes it as "partial 16S ribosomal RNA". It matches the Rfam family "Bacterial small subunit ribosomal RNA", at positions 28 to 507 of the family's 1533-position model. The record is from RNAcentral.
AUUGAACGCUGGCGGCAUGCUUUACACAUGCAAGUCGAACGGCAGCGCGGGCUUCGGCCUGGCGGCGCGUGGCGCACGGGUGAGUAAUGCAUCGGAACGUGCCCAGUAGUGGGGGAUAGCCCGGCGAAAGCCGGAUUAAUACCGCAUACGACCUGAGGGUGAAAGCGGGGGACCGAAAGGCCUCGCGCUAUUGGAGCGGCCGAUGUCGGAUUAGCUAGUUGGUGGGGUAAAGGCUUACCAAGGCGACGAUCCGUAGCUGGUCUGAGAGGACGACCAGCCACACUGGGACUGAGACACGGCCCAGACUCCUACGGGAGGCAGCAGUGGGGAAUUUUGGACAAUGGGGGCAACCCUGAUCCAGCCAGGCCGCGUGCGAGAAGAAGGCCUUCGGGUUGUAAAGCGCUUUUGUUCGGGAAGAAAUCCUCUGGGCUAAUACCCCGGGGGGAUGACGGUACCGGAAGAAUAAGCACCGGCUAACUACGUG